This 226-nucleotide long non-coding RNA is filed under the name Nicotiana benthamiana. Its description in RNAcentral is "long non-coding RNA (NBEN_LNC029948)". The record is from RNAcentral. Lineage: Eukaryota; Viridiplantae; Streptophyta; Magnoliopsida; Solanales; Solanaceae.
CUUUCUACACCUAUUUUAUCAUCUCCUCCACCCUUCAAUUUUUCUUCACAACUUGGUCGGAGCAAACAACCAAAGUGAAACAAAAACCCAACACUUUAUUGAAUUUUUCUUAGCUUUCUCUUGCUCUGAGAUUGUGCUCUAUAUAUUAAAUUUACUUUAUAUAUUUAUCUCUUGACCAAGGUGGAAGAAGAAAAUUGACGAGAAAAAUAUAAAAAGAGAAACCAUU